Sebastes umbrosus (honeycomb rockfish) is the source of this 849-nucleotide long non-coding RNA. RefSeq lists it as uncharacterized. The transcript has 3 exons. The record is from RefSeq and is a predicted model, not a curated record. NCBI's taxonomy places the organism in Eukaryota, Metazoa, Chordata, Actinopteri, Perciformes, Sebastidae.
GUAAAGCCACUCUCUCAGUAGAGGAGUUACCUUCUAAUUUACCUACACAAGUGUUUUCCUCUCUGGUUCACCUGUUAGAGACGAUGAUGAUGAUGAUGAUGAGGAUGAUGAUGAUGAUGAUCACCUUCAACCUGAGCAUCUAAUCACAAUAACUGAACACACCUGAGUGAGUGUGAGCGGCUCUCAGGAGGCUCACUGUCUUAAUGCCAAUAAGGUGGAAACAGUAAUUCUUUAAAUGGAUUCCUACUGGUUGUAGUUUAGUUUAGUUGUAUAUUUUUAAAUAUCUGAAAUGAGACGUUAAGCUUCUGAAAACGUGACUCUACCGAGAUGACCUCACUCAACUGGAGCACACUACAGCUCUACCAGAUCUCUCUGCUGUCUGCAGCUCUACCAGAGGGUGGCAGUCCUGUUCAGGAAAAGAAAGAACGUCUCCCAACGACAACUUUCCAUGACACCAAGCUUUAUGUGGCAGAGGAAGUACGUCGGGUUAGAGCUAAUGGGCUGCAAUAAAGACUGGAUUUACACCAAUAACACUGGGUAUUAAACCAACCAACACCAGCAAACAGGACUCUCUUCAGGUCUCUGUGUUGUCUCCAGAAAAGCAUCAUAUUAGAUCCUCAGAUCUGAGCUGUGUUUCUCAUUGUUAUUCUACAGUUAAGUACCUUUUCUGAACCCUGAUCUACAGCGCUGCUAUCAUGGAUCAGGGCUCAUACUAACCGUGAUGGAUCGGCCAAUAUAUAGAUGUACGAUUAGGGAUGGGGCUCCAAAUCCUUUUGAAUCCCUGAUCGAAUGUGUGGAAUCAGACUGAAUCCAGUGUGCUGCAGAAUCUGCAGAAGUUAAAAUAAAAAC